RNAcentral lists this long non-coding RNA (751 nucleotides) under Rattus norvegicus (Norway rat). Its description in RNAcentral is "long non-coding RNA NONRATT024876". Lineage: Eukaryota; Metazoa; Chordata; Mammalia; Rodentia; Muridae. The record is from RNAcentral.
CCGCGCCGGGGCUCGCAGCAUCCACCAUGGCCUUCCGUAGCGCGGGCACUUUAAUGACCGAAUUCAAUGCCACCUUUGUGCCACCAGCCCUCAUGCCCGGGGAAAACGUGAGGAGAGGAGGAGACACUGAAGAUGGCAGGGAGGAAGCCAACUGUGUACAUCAUCCCUGCUGAAGACACACUGUCUGCUCAUCUGAGAGAAACAGUGGAGACAGAAGGUGGACUACAGGUCAAGGAGGAGUAAGCCACGGUACAGAGGAGGAGCCUGUCUUCUGAGAGAGACCAAAGUGGCCACCCAUGCUCCCAGAAGAGGCCAACAAAGACUCCUGAGCUCUCAAUCUCUACAUCAGAGGGGACAUGGCGGUCAGCGGGAAGUCCAGGAGAACCCAGAAGAAAGAGCUCUGAAGCGGAUGGAGAAGUAUCAAGAUCCCAUGAAGUUAAAGGACAGAGUGAAGGAGCUAGGGAGAGACCUGUGAGGCCAGUGAUGGGGUCUCGUGGCCUGGCCUCCUCUGUGGCUACUUUACUUCCUGCUCUGACCCAGGCGGCAUUCUUGCUAUCAGAUCCCAAGCCCACUGGCGGGAGGGACGAGACCAGGAGCCAGAGGGACGAGACUGAUAUUUUCACCACAAUGGAAAUCAACCAGUAGCUCUGUCUGUUACUCAACAAGGUUUUCUUGCCUUUUCCCCCCUGAAGCCACAGAGAAGGAAAUAAUUUAUUACUACCUAAUUCUAGGCCUGUGCCUGUUGGUAAGG